RNAcentral lists this ribosomal RNA (358 nucleotides) under Salmonella enterica subsp. enterica serovar Typhimurium. Its description in RNAcentral is "bacterial SSU rRNA". It matches the Rfam family "Bacterial small subunit ribosomal RNA", at positions 1 to 355 of the family's 1533-position model. Lineage: Bacteria; Pseudomonadati; Pseudomonadota; Gammaproteobacteria; Enterobacterales; Enterobacteriaceae. The record is from RNAcentral.
AAAUUGAAGAGUUUGAUCAUGGCUCAGAUUGAACGCUGGCGGCAGGCCUAACACAUGCAAGUCGAACGGUAACAGGAAGCAGCUUGCUGCUUUGCUGACGAGUGGCGGACGGGUGAGUAAUGUCUGGGAAACUGCCUGAUGGAGGGGGAUAACUACUGGAAACGGUGGCUAAUACCGCAUAACGUCGCAAGACCAAAGAGGGGGACCUUCGGGCCUCUUGCCAUCAGAUGUGCCCAGAUGGGAUUAGCUAGUUGGUGAGGUAACGGCUCACCAAGGCGACGAUCCCUAGCUGGUCUGAGAGGAUGACCAGCCACACUGGAACUGAGACACGGUCCAGACUCCUACGGGAGGCAGCAGU